This 445-nucleotide ribosomal RNA is filed under the name uncultured bacterium. Its description in RNAcentral is "partial 16S ribosomal RNA". It matches the Rfam family "Bacterial small subunit ribosomal RNA", at positions 354 to 796 of the family's 1533-position model. The record is from RNAcentral.
GUGAGGAAUAUUGCGCAAUGGAGGCAACUCUGACGCAGCCAUGCCGCGUGCAGGAAGAAGGCGCUACGCGUUGUAAACUGCUUUUAACCGGGAAGAAACCCCAGGACGUGUCCUGGGUUGACGGUACCGGAGGAAUAAGCACCGGCUAACUUCGUGCCAGCAGCCGCGGUAAUACGAAGGGUGCAAGCGUUAUCCGGAUUCAUUGGGUUUAAAGGGUGCGUAGGCGGAGCGUUAAGUCAGUGGUGAAAUCCUGCAGCUUAACUGUAGACUUGCCAUUGAUACUGGCGCUCUUGAGUGCGGUUGAAGUGGGCGGAAUGUGCCGUGUAGCGGUGAAAUGCUUAGAUAUGGCACAGAACACCAAUUGCGAAGGCAGCUCACUAAGGCGAUACUGACGCUGAGGCACGAAAGCGUGGGGAUCGAACAGGAUUAGAUACCCGAGUAGUCC